AUCUUUCUUAUUUAUAUAAAUAAGAAUUUGUUUUUUAAGUUAAAAAACUUAAGUAUUCUUAUAGGACGAGAAGACCCUAUAGAACUUUAUCUAUAAAAUAUUUAUUUAAGUAUUUUAUAGAUUAUAUUGGGGUGAUAUUUAUUUUUUAUUAACAAUAUUUGUUUUUUUCAAUAAUUUUUGAUUUUUUGAUCCAAUUUUUUUGAUUAUAAGUUUAAGUUACCUUAGGGAUAACAGCGUAAUUUAAUUGGAGAGUUCUUAUCGAUAAUUUAAGCUUGCGACCUCGAUGUUGAAUUAAGAAUUAGAAUUAGGGGUAGUUUUUUAUAUUCUUUGGUCUGUUCGACCAUUAAUUUCUUACAUGAUUUGAGUUAAGACCGGCGUGAGCCAGGUCGGUUUCUAUCCUUAAUAUUUAUUAUUAUUCUUUAGUACGAGAGGACCAAGAAUUUAAUUAAUUAAUU
Molecule: ribosomal RNA, 455 nt
Filed under: Corixidea sp. UCR ENT 00096833
Lineage: Eukaryota; Metazoa; Arthropoda; Insecta; Hemiptera; Schizopteridae
Description: partial large subunit ribosomal RNA
Rfam family: Bacterial large subunit ribosomal RNA (bases 63-399)
Source: RNAcentral